GAUGAACGCUGGCGGCGUGCCUAACACAUGCAAGUCGAGCGAACAGACGAUGAUUUUGCUCGUCUGACGUGAGCGGCGGACGUGUGAAUAACAUGUGUAUAACCUACCUAUAUGACUGGGAUCACUUCGGGAAAGCGGAUCCUAUAGCGGAGAAUAUACUGAAGCUCGGUGGUCAAUGGUGAGAUUCGGCUGUUCGGUCACUUAUAGAUGGAUCGGCGCUGUUUUGGGUAGUUGUUAGGUUAAUGGCUUUCCAAGGCGACGAUGCGUAGGCGAACUGACAGGAGGAUAGGCCACCCGGGAGCGGAGACACGGUCCAGACUCCUACGGGAGGCAGCAGAGGGGAAUGUUAGGCAAUGGGCGAAAGUUUGGCGGAGCAAGGCCGCGUGAGUGAUGAAGGUGUUCGGAUCGUAAAGAUGUGUUAUGAGGGAAGAACAGAUGUGUAAGUAGAUGAGGAGGUCUUGACGGUACCGAAUAAAAAAGCAACGGCUAACUACGUG
RNAcentral lists this ribosomal RNA (497 nucleotides) under uncultured bacterium. RNAcentral's name for it is "partial 16S ribosomal RNA". It matches the Rfam family "Bacterial small subunit ribosomal RNA", at positions 28 to 507 of the family's 1533-position model. The record is from RNAcentral.